GAUGAACGCUGGCGGCGUGCUUAACACAUGCAAGUCGAACGGACAGGCUCCUGCUUGCAGGGGUACUCGAGUGGCGAACGGGUGAGUAACACGUGGGUGAUCUGCCCUGCACUUCGGGGUAUGCCUGGGAAACUGGGGCUCAUACCGGAUAGGACGAUGGUUUGGAUGCCAUUCUGGAAAGUUUUUUCGGUGUGGGAUGAGUUCGCGGUCUAUCAGCUUGUUGGGGGGGUAUUGUCCUACCAAGGCGUCGGCGGGUCGCCGGCCUGGGAGGGUGUACGGCCACAUUGCGACUGGGCUACGGCCCAGACUCCAACCGUACGCAACGGUGGAGAGUAUUACACAAUGGGCGCAAGCCAGAUGUAACGACGCCACGUGGGGGAAAACGGGCUUCGGGUUGUAAACUACUUUCGCUAGAGACGAGGCGCUAGUGACGGUACCUGGAGAAGAAGCCCCGGCUAACUACGUG
Molecule: ribosomal RNA, 466 nt
Filed under: uncultured bacterium
Lineage: Bacteria
Description: partial 16S ribosomal RNA
Rfam family: Bacterial small subunit ribosomal RNA
Source: RNAcentral